Molecule: ribosomal RNA, 253 nt
Filed under: uncultured bacterium
Lineage: Bacteria
Description: partial 16S ribosomal RNA
Rfam family: Bacterial small subunit ribosomal RNA
Source: RNAcentral
UACGUAGGUGGCAAGCGUUGUCCGGAUUUACUGGGCGUAAAGGGCGUGCAGGCGGUUUGUUAAGUCUAGGGUGAAAGCUCCCGGCUCAACUGGGAGAGGUCCUUGGAUACUGGCGAACUUGAGGGAUGCAGAGGAAAGUGGAAUUCCCGGUGUAGUGGUGAUAUGCGUAGAUAUCUGGAGGAACACCGGUGGCGAAGGCGGCAUCCUGGACCGGUAUUGACGCUGAGGCGCGAAAGCCAGGGGAGCAAACGGG